GUCUCGGUAGUGUAAGGAAUCGAGCACGUUGCUCGUAAAUCACAAGCAAGGGUUCGAGUCCCGUCCGAGACU
RNAcentral lists this transfer RNA (72 nucleotides) under Haemonchus placei. It matches the Rfam family "tRNA". Rfam says of the family: Transfer RNA (tRNA) molecules are approximately 80 nucleotides in length. Their secondary structure includes four short double-helical elements and three loops (D, anti-codon, and T loops). Further hydrogen bonds mediate the characteristic L-shaped molecular structure. tRNAs have two regions of fundamental functional importance: the anti-codon, which is responsible for specific mRNA codon recognition, and the 3' end, to which the tRNAs corresponding amino acid is attached (by aminoacyl-tRNA synthetases). tRNAs cope with the degeneracy of the genetic code in two manners: having more than one tRNA (with a specific anti-codon) for a particular amino acid; and 'wobble' base-pairing, i.e. permitting non-standard base-pairing at the 3rd anti-codon position. Lineage: Eukaryota; Metazoa; Nematoda; Chromadorea; Rhabditida; Trichostrongylidae. The record is from Rfam by way of RNAcentral.